CCUACGGGAUGCAGCAGUGAGGAAUAUUGGUCAAUGGGAGAGAUCCUGAACCAGCCAAGCCGCGUGAGGGAAGACGGCCCUAUGGAUUGUAAACCUCUUUUGUCGGAGAACAAAACCCGGGACGUGUCCCGUACUGCGUGUAUCCGAAGAAAAAGCAUCGGCUAACUCCGUGCCAGCAGCCGCGGUAAUACGGAGGAUGCGAGCGUUAUCCGGAUUUAUUGGGUUUAAAGGGUGCGUAGGCGGUCCGUUAAGUCAGCGGUAAAAUUGCGGGGCUCAACCCCGUCGAGCCGUUGAAACUGGCUGACUUGAGUGGGCGAGAAGUACGCGGAAGGCGCGGUGUAGCGGUGAAAUGCAUAGAUAUCGCGCAGAACUCCGAUUGCGAAGGCAGCGUACCGGCGCCAGACUGACGCUGAGGCACGAAAGCGUGGGGAUCGAACAGGAUUAGAUACCCGGGUAGUC
This 459-nucleotide ribosomal RNA is filed under the name uncultured bacterium. RNAcentral's name for it is "partial 16S ribosomal RNA". It matches the Rfam family "Bacterial small subunit ribosomal RNA", at positions 338 to 795 of the family's 1533-position model. The record is from RNAcentral.